CGGCGGACGGGUGAGUAACACGUGGAUAACCUACCUAUAAGACUGGGAUAACUUCGGGAAACCGGAGCUAAUACCGGAUAAUAUAUUGAACCGCAUGGUUCAAUAGUGAAAGACGGUUUUGCUGUCACUUAUAGAUGGAUCCGCGUCGCAUUAGCUAGUUGGUAAGGUAACGGCUUACCAAGGCAACGAUGCGUAGCCGACCUGAGAGGGUGAUCGGCCACACUGGAACUGAGACACGGUCCAGACUCCUACGGGAGGCAGCAGGA
Molecule: ribosomal RNA, 266 nt
Filed under: uncultured Staphylococcus sp.
Lineage: Bacteria; Bacillati; Bacillota; Bacilli; Caryophanales; Staphylococcaceae
Description: partial 16S ribosomal RNA
Rfam family: Bacterial small subunit ribosomal RNA
Source: RNAcentral